Molecule: ribosomal RNA, 254 nt
Filed under: uncultured bacterium
Lineage: Bacteria
Description: partial 16S ribosomal RNA
Rfam family: Bacterial small subunit ribosomal RNA
Source: RNAcentral
UACGUAGGGUGCGAGCGUUGUCCGGAAUUACUGGGCGUAAAGAGCUCGUAGGCGGUUUGUCGCGUCGUCUGUGAAAUUCUGCAACUCAAUUGCAGGCGUGCAGGCGAUACGGGCAGACUUGAGUACUACAGGGGAGACUGGAAUUCCGUGGUGUAGCGGUGAAAUGCGCAGAUAUCAGGAGGAACACCGGUGGCGAAGGCGGGUCUCUGGGUAGUAACUGACGCUGAGGAGCGAAAGCGUGGGUAGCGAACAGG